GACGAACGCUGGCGGCGUGCUUAACACAUGCAAGUCGAACGGAAAGGCCCUGCUUUUGUGGGGUGCUCGAGUGGCGAACGGGUGAGUAACACGUGAGUAACCUGCCCUUGACUUUGGGAUAACUUCAGGAAACUGGGGCUAAUACCGGAUAGGAGCUCCUGCUGCAUGGUGGGGGUUGGAAAGUUUCGGCGGUUGGGGAUGGACUCGCGGCUUAUCAGCUUGUUGGUGGGGUAGUGGCUUACCAAGGCUUUGACGGGUAGCCGGCCUGGGAGGGUGACCGGCCACCUGGGGACUGCGAUACGGCCCAGACUCCUACAGGAGGCAGCAGUGGGAAAUAUUGCCCAAUGGGCGGAAGCCUGUUGCAGCAACGUCGCGUGCGGGAUGACGGCUUUCGGGUAGUAAACCGCUGUCGCCUGUGACGCAGCGGUAGUGACGGUAAUGGGUAAAGAAGCACCGGCUAACUACGUG
This 468-nucleotide ribosomal RNA is filed under the name uncultured bacterium. RNAcentral describes it as "partial 16S ribosomal RNA". It matches the Rfam family "Bacterial small subunit ribosomal RNA", at positions 28 to 507 of the family's 1533-position model. The record is from RNAcentral.